AUACUCACUUUGGCAGCACAUAUAGGAAAACUGGAACGAUACAGAGAAGAUUAGCAUGGCCUCUGUGCAAAGAUGACACACAAAUCCGUGAAGAAAACGUGAAAAAGCAAUAUGGAUUUUU
Molecule: small nuclear RNA, 121 nt
Organism: Ailuropoda melanoleuca (giant panda)
Lineage: Eukaryota; Metazoa; Chordata; Mammalia; Carnivora; Ursidae
Source: Ensembl